This 253-nucleotide ribosomal RNA is filed under the name uncultured bacterium. RNAcentral describes it as "partial 16S ribosomal RNA". It matches the Rfam family "Bacterial small subunit ribosomal RNA", at positions 524 to 776 of the family's 1533-position model. The record is from RNAcentral.
GACGUAGGGCGCGAGCGUUGUACGGAUUUAUUGGGCGUAAAGAGCUCGUAGGCGGCUUGUCGCGUCGUCCGUGAAAACUUGGGGCUCAACCCCAAGCUUGCGGUCGAUACGGGCAGGCUAGAGUUCGGUAGGGGAGACUGGAAUUCCUGGUGUAGCGGUGAAAUGCGCAGAUAUCUGGAGGAACACCGGUGGCGAAGGCGGCGUUCUGGACUGUUUCUGACACUGAGAGACGAAAGCCAGGGGAGCAAACGGG